GUGCUCACUUCGGCAGCACAUAUGCUAAAAUUGGAAUGAUACAGAGAUUAGCGUGGUCCUUGUCCAAGGAUGAUACCCCCCAAAAAGGGGAAAAGUUUAUACAU
Molecule: small nuclear RNA, 104 nt
Organism: Ursus americanus (American black bear)
Lineage: Eukaryota; Metazoa; Chordata; Mammalia; Carnivora; Ursidae
Source: Ensembl